Molecule: ribosomal RNA, 291 nt
Filed under: uncultured bacterium
Lineage: Bacteria
Description: partial 16S ribosomal RNA
Rfam family: Bacterial small subunit ribosomal RNA
Source: RNAcentral
GCCUACGGGAGGCAGCAGUGGGGGAUAUUGCACAAUGGGGGAAACCCUGAUGCAGCGACGCCGCGUGGGUGAAGAAGCGCCUCGGCGCGUAAAGCCCUGUCAGCAGGGAAGAAAAUGACGGUACCUGAAGAAGAAGCCCCGGCUAACUACGUGCCAGCAGCCGCGGUAAUACGUAGGGGGCAAGCGUUAUCCGGAUUUACUGGGUGUAAAGGGGGCGCAGACGGCGAUGCAAGCCAGGAGUGAAAGCCCGGGGCUCAACCCCGUCCGGCCGUUGAAACUGGGAGCCUUGAG